UUCCUCAAAGAAAAAUGCUUGGGGAACGGGUAAUUGGAAUGAACUACAAGCAUUUUCACUGAGCUCAAAGAAACUGCAAGAAAAAAGAUCUUCGAUCUGCAUCCAAGUAUUUUUUUUGUCUGAAAGAACACUGUGUGAGGAAUUUUGACAUUCUCUGCAUUCUAAUGAAAAUGACUUGGAAAGUAGAGGCUUCUCUAUACAUUUGCCUCAUUGCCGCCACGAUGGGCACCGUUUAUCAGGAAUAAAGAGAGAAGAUCAAGAAAGUAGUUCUUUUCUGGAGAAUUUUGUGCUCUGGCUCUUAAGUACUUUUGCUUUGCCAUGAAUGUGAAUAUUUUAAAGGCCAAAAAAGCCCCCUCCAUUUGAGUUGCAGAUGGCCACAGGAACCCAACAAGAAUGCUAACAACUCAUUUUAAAAAGGGAAAAAGAAAGGAAGUGCCAAGUUCCACACUGCAUAUCCAUACUGAUGUUGAGCCCAUCUUGGCCUAGCUGGUAGAACUGAAAAUUGAGAAUAAUAUUAAGGGGCUGCAAUGAUCCCUAAGGGUAAAAAUAAAUGUGUUUCUGAAAACAACAGCCACAUCCACAAUGAAAUAGACAUGAAACAAGAUAACCCAAGAACACAUUUGUUUUCCUUGUAACAGGGAUGCGUUAAGUUCAUUAUUCAGAGGACUUUGAUUACCCUUUUCAAAGAUUUUUGUGUUGGAAGCAAUCAGAAGACUGGAAGCAAUUUACUAAUAAGAGAACAUGCCCUACAGCUCUGGCCUGUGAAAAGAGUUUCAGAAUCACGAUGUAGCCACAAGUCAAAUUCUAGAAAGAAUUAAUGGCACAUCUCAUAGUUCUUUCAUUUGCUGGCUGAUUCAUUCCAGAGUGGUUUUGAGGACAGAAUGAAGCAAGAUGAAAAACAGCACUUUGAAAAUGGAGUGUGUGGUAUUCAUCUUAGAUACACUUUUAGAGAAGAAGAAAUGUGUCUCAGAAAAAGGACCUCUUCUGACUCAAAUUUAGCUUACAUCCCCUUCUCAACCAUAUCCCAGGUGAUAAAAUAUGACACCCAGGUAAGCAGUGGCCUUGUGGACUCUGAAGAAGUUCUUAACGUGUCCACGGCACAUUCUCAUUUUGUCUGGCUCUAAACUACUGUCUCAAGAAAGCUGCAAAUAUUUGAAAGUAACAAUAAAGUGUUAACAGUAA
Molecule: long non-coding RNA, 1182 nt
Filed under: Homo sapiens (human)
Lineage: Eukaryota; Metazoa; Chordata; Mammalia; Primates; Hominidae
Description: HSALNT0305925
Source: RNAcentral